RNAcentral lists this unclassified non-coding RNA (500 nucleotides) under Hevea brasiliensis (rubber tree). The record is from RNAcentral. Lineage: Eukaryota; Viridiplantae; Streptophyta; Magnoliopsida; Malpighiales; Euphorbiaceae.
AAUUUUUCUUCUCUCUUAUCUCUGUGACCUUUGGACUUGCAUUGUUGUUUUGGGCUGAAACCCUGAAAUUAAUGAAGCUAUCUUUAGCAAAUACACACACACACACACAUCGAAUGCAGUACACACAGUGCUAUUCUACCACGUCACCAAAUCUUCCGAUCAACGACCGCCAAGUGCUUAACACGUGGCCAACGAAUGCAUCUUGCUUCAUGCGGGUAUCAGUUGUCGGAUUUCAUGCGCGCAUCGCAACGCACACCGGAUAUAUUUCGCCGUUAAGACUCACUCAUACCACCACUAUAUGUAACCAAUGCAAUCCACAUCAUCAGCAUCGCAAGUCGCAAUUCUCUCGAUCGCUGGCUUUAGCUCUCUUUUUUUUGUUUCUAAUUUCAGCUUGUUAUUUCAAUUUUAUGUGAUUAAUUAUGGCCAGUCAGAGCAACCCGAUUCCAGCUAUGACAACUUCUCAACCGUUGCAGUCACCAGUGGUGGUGAUCGGACCACAG